GAAAGAUGAUAUUAACCUCAUACAAAAAAUUUGUAAUCUCCAUAACUUGUAUAAACUGAUUAAAUCGGUAUAUUUAAUGAGCAUUUAAUUCCUGUUUUCUUUCCCUUCCAUCAUUUCAAUAGGGUCUUUUUUUGGUAAUCGUAGGGCCAUGUUCUAGGUCAAUGUUGGCAGUUUUGAAUUUUGAGUUACCCAGUGUGUUGGCAUGGAGCCUUUAGAAUAGCCGUUUCAUGCAAUUAUGCUGAAGCCCUGGGCUGUAUCUAAACAGUCUCUCCUAGGACCUUCUUUACUUGGUGUUCAGGGCAUUUAUUUUCUUUUCCUUGGUGGUCUGUCCCUUGGUUAAAAUUAGAACAGAGCCUGCCUCCAUUGCCUGCCUCCUUUGCACUUACUAAAACAAUGUCUUCCCUUUGGAAUUUCUCACUCAACUAGCAUUUGUUAUGCAAGAAAUAAAAUAAAUAUGAAAGAAUGUUAGAAAUGCCUUCUAUAAAUUUUAUGUUAGCUGCACUAGUUGUAUGUUAUG
RNAcentral lists this unclassified non-coding RNA (517 nucleotides) under Hevea brasiliensis (rubber tree). Lineage: Eukaryota; Viridiplantae; Streptophyta; Magnoliopsida; Malpighiales; Euphorbiaceae. The record is from RNAcentral.